CAUUAAGAAGCUAUGAAUCAGCGUUAGCCUUUUAAGCUAAAGAAAGAGGGGACUAACCUCCUUAAUGG
Molecule: transfer RNA, 68 nt
Filed under: Melanocharis citreola (Satin berrypecker)
Lineage: Eukaryota; Metazoa; Chordata; Aves; Passeriformes; Melanocharitidae
Description: tRNA-Lys
Source: RNAcentral